RNAcentral lists this ribosomal RNA (293 nucleotides) under uncultured bacterium. RNAcentral describes it as "partial 16S ribosomal RNA". It matches the Rfam family "Archaeal small subunit ribosomal RNA", at positions 455 to 747 of the family's 1478-position model. The record is from RNAcentral.
GUGCCAGCCGCCGCGGUAAUACCGGCAGCUCAAGUGAUGGCCGAUCUUAUUGGGCCUAAAGCGUCCGUAGCUGGCCUCGCAAGUCCGUCGGGAAAUCCAGUAGCUCAACUACUGGGCGUCCGGCGGAAACUACACGGCUUGGGGCCGAGAGACUCGACGGGUACGUCCGGGGUAGGAGUGAAAUCCUGUAAUCCUGGACGGACCACCAAUGGGGAAACCACGUCGAGAGACCGGACCCGACAGUGAGGGACGAAAGCCAGGGUCUCGAACCGGAUUAGAAACCCUAGUAGUCC